Pocillopora verrucosa is the source of this 1442-nucleotide non-coding RNA. The record is from RefSeq and is a predicted model, not a curated record. NCBI's taxonomy places the organism in Eukaryota, Metazoa, Cnidaria, Anthozoa, Scleractinia, Pocilloporidae.
ACCAACACACUUGGGAGGAAGCCUGCAGAGAAAUUGACCAGAAGCGACUAAAAACGUAUCCAUUUCUCGCCAACCGAGGCGGUUGCAUCGAGAGAUACAUUCUUGUGUAAUCUGGUCAUCAUUUGAACCAAUCGUUAUAAACUUAAAACCAAUUUAUCAGCGAAGGAGGUGAAGCAUCCGAUUCACGCAGACGCUUUCGGUUGGAUACUAAAAGAAUAAAGCUUUUGAGGUGAAACGUUUGGCGCCAUCUUGGAUUUUUGGAAGGAGUGCACGAAGACAGGCUCACUAAGCAGAGAACUCUGCAAGACUACUGGGGAAAGGACAUUUCUGAGGUAAAGAAAAAGUCAAGGACUUCGAAGACUUUAUGACAAGAGCUCAGAGAGCACUGUGGUCUGCUAAGUCCGUUGGACUAGAAGUUGAGUUUAUUGCCAUGAAAGAAGUCAAGACUGGAAGCAAACACAAUGCAAAAAUGGUCAGUGAUGAGCAACAAGAAAACACUGCUACAGGGCUUGACUCCCUUUUAAAAGAGGAAAAGGAAAAAUUGGAUCAAAUUUUAUUUCUUUUAGACAAAUUUUUUGUAGGAGACUUGUUUUAUCAUGAGCUCUCCAUGAUUAAUGAUGAUCUUCUAAAAUCAUAUCUAAUCAAGGAAUGGCAUGACAUGAACCAUAUUAUAUCCACACCUGGGAGAGCUGAGGGUGCUGAAGUUUCAUUCAAGAACUUCUCAAGGAAAGAGUGCAAGAUUUAAUUAACCAAAAUCCAGAAUUUGAUUUUGAAAAUGAAAGUGUAAAGGUUAAAAUAUCAGGGGAUGGGGCAAGGAUGACUCUCAAUACAAGCGUUAUCAUUCUUUCUUUUGCCCUGUUGCAAAAUUAUAGUGAUUUAAUGUCUGCAAGGGGAAAAUUGUACAAUUGCCAUUCUGAAGGAUUCAGAAAAGUAUGAAAUACUGAGAGAGUCAUUUGCUGAUUUUUUUUCAGAUAUAAAUGAUCUAAAUUCCAUAAACAAAAUCACAAUCAAUGGGAAAGAAAUAACACUUGAAUUCUUUUGGGGGGAGAUUAUAAAUUCAUUUUAAUCAUGUUGGGACUUAAAGGUGCCACCUCAUUCUAUGCUUGUGUCUGGUGCAAAGUUCAUAAAGAUAAAAAACUACGGUAGUUUCAGUAGACCACCACAGCACUGAACAGUGGAGAAAAAUCAGUAUUGAAAAAAUAGAACAAAAACAACAGUGAAUGGGAUAGCAAUCUCAAAUACUUCAAAACCAUUGAUUUUUUGUUCUUUGGAUUUAAAAAAAGUUCUCUUAAAGCUGGCAUUCAAGGAAGUGAAGGUCUACUCUCAUGUCCUUUCUACUUACUAAACAAAUUGUAAAACAGCCUGCACACUGUGUGUAUUUCUUGGUUGUAAAUAUGAAAAAUUUAAAUCAAUAUAAGAAUAUGUAAUGAACUACUACAAAA